Molecule: long non-coding RNA, 218 nt
Filed under: Elaeis guineensis (African oil palm)
Lineage: Eukaryota; Viridiplantae; Streptophyta; Magnoliopsida; Arecales; Arecaceae
Description: long non-coding RNA (EGUI_LNC076686)
Source: RNAcentral
CCUGUUGUGGUAUCGAUAUCAUGAUUUAGGUUAGCGAUCUUGGGUGGAAGAUCUGUAUUUCGCACUCGUAAGAGAUCCUUUCCAACAAAGAGGCACCCGCAUGACAAUGGUAGUAUGUUUCUUCCCAAAAGGGGGUUCGUGCCUUGAUCCGAGAUAUCCCUUCCUCAAUUCAUGAUUGGAAGGAGCGCUUCUUUUACGUCUCUUAGCCUCAAGAGAUU